This 429-nucleotide ribosomal RNA is filed under the name Chloroflexota bacterium. RNAcentral describes it as "Chloroflexi bacterium partial 16S ribosomal RNA". It matches the Rfam family "Bacterial small subunit ribosomal RNA", at positions 355 to 776 of the family's 1533-position model. Lineage: Bacteria; Bacillati; Chloroflexota. The record is from RNAcentral.
UGGGGAAUAUUGCACAAUGGGCGCAAGCCUGAUGCAGCCAUGCCGCGUGUAUGAAGAAGGCCUUCGGGUUGUAAAGUACUUUCAGCGGGGAGGAAGGGAGUAAAGUUAAUACCUUUGCUCAUUGACGUUACCCGCAGAAGAAGCACCGGCUAACUCCGUGCCAGCAGCCGCGGUAAUACGGAGGGUGCAAGCGUUAAUCGGAAUUACUGGGCGUAAAGCGCACGCAGGCGGUUUGUUAAGUCAGAUGUGAAAUCCCCGGGCUCAACCUGGGAACUGCAUCUGAUACUGGCAAGCUUGAGUAUCGUAGAGGGGGGUAGAAGUCCAGGUGUAGCGGUGAAAUGCGUAGAGAUAUGGAGGAAUACCGGGGGAGAAGGCGGCCCCCUGGACGAAGACUGACGCUCAGGUGCGAAAGCGUGGGGAGCAAACAGG